This 274-nucleotide ribosomal RNA is filed under the name uncultured bacterium. Its description in RNAcentral is "partial 16S ribosomal RNA". It matches the Rfam family "Bacterial small subunit ribosomal RNA", at positions 523 to 796 of the family's 1533-position model. The record is from RNAcentral.
AUACAGAGGGUGCGAGCGUUAAUCGGAAUUACUGGGCGUAAAGCGCGCGUAGGCGGCUUGGUCAGUCGGAUGUGAAAGCCCUGGGCUCAACCUGGGAAUUGCAUUCGAUACUGCCAAGCUAGAGCAUGGGAGAGGGAAGUGGAAUUUCCGGUGUAGCGGUGAAAUGCGUAGAUAUCGGAAAGAACACCAGUGGCGAAGGCGACUUCCUGGCCCAAUACUGACGCUGAGGUGCGAAAGCGUGGGGAGCGAACAGGAUUAGAUACCCUAGUAGUCC